Molecule: non-coding RNA, 415 nt
Organism: Meleagris gallopavo (turkey)
Lineage: Eukaryota; Metazoa; Chordata; Aves; Galliformes; Phasianidae
Source: RefSeq, a predicted model, not a curated record
AUGAUUACGCCAAUAAGCGCUACGAGGUGCCGGUGCCACUCAACCUCCCAGCACCCCCACGAGUUCCAUCGAGCGCCGCCUCUACGAUGUCAGCGUUCAGACCAAACCUUUCGGGAUCCAGAUCCGCCGCAGGAGCACUGGGACUGUCAUCUGGGACUCGCAGCUGCCCACCUUCACCUUCAGUGACAUGUUCAUCCAGAUCUCCACCCGCCUGCCCUCCUCGUACCUCUAUGGCUUCGGUGAGACUGAGCACACGCAGUACCACCGUGACAUGAACUGGCACACGUGGGGCAUGUUCAGUCGGGACCAACCCCCUGGGUACAAGCUGAAUUCGUACGGUGUCCAGCCAUUCUACAUGGGUCUGGAAGAAGAUGGCAACGCCCAUGGAGUUCUCUUGCUCAACAGCAAUGGAAUG